CUAGCUACAGGCUUAACACAUGCAAGUCGAGGGGCAUCAGGAAGAAAGCUUGCUUUCUUUGCUGGCGACCGGCGCACGGGUGAGUAACACGUAUCCAACCUGCCCUUUACUCGGGGAUAGCCUUUCGAAAGAAAGAUUAAUACCCGAUAGCAUAAUGAUUCCGCAUGGUUUCAUUAUUAAAGGAUUCCGGUAAAGGAUGGGGAUGCGUUCCAUUAGGUUGUUGGUGAGGUAACGGCCCACCAAGCCUUCGAUGGAUAGGGGUUCUGAGAGGAAGGUCCCCCACAUUGGAACUGAGACACGGUCCAAACUCCUACGGGAGGCAGCAGUGAGGAAUAUUGGUCAAUGGGCGCUAGCCUGAACCAGCCAAGUAGCGUGAAGGAUGAAGGCUCUAUGGGUCGUAAACUUCUUUUAUAUAAGAAUAAAGUGCAGUAUGUAUACUGUUUUGUAUGUAUUAUAUGAAUAAGGAUCGGCUAACUCCGUGCCAGCAGCCGCGGUAAUACGGAGGAUCCGAGCGUUAUCCGGAUUUAUUGGGUUUAAAGGGAGCGUAGGUGGACUGGUAAGUCAGUUGUGAAAGUUUGCGGCUCAACCGUAAAAUUGCAGUUGAUACUGUCAGUCUUGAGUACAGUAGAGGUGGGCGGAAUUCGUGGUGUAGCGGUGAAAUGCUUAGAUAUCACGAAGAACUCCGGUUGCGAAGGCAGCUCACUGGACUGCAACUGACACUGAUGCUCGAAAGUGUGGGUAUCAAACAGGAUUAGAUACCCUGGUAGUCCACACAGUAAACGAUGAAUACUCGCUGUUUGCGAUAUACAGUAAGCGGCCAAGCGAAAGCAUUAAGUAUUCCACCUGGGGAGUACGCCGGCAACGGUGAAACUCAAAGGAAUUGACGGGGGCCCGCACAAGCGGAGGAACAUGUGGUUUAAUUCGAUGAUACGCGAGGAACCUUACCCGGGCUUAAAUUGCAGUGGAAUGAUGUGGAAACAUGUCAGUGAGCAAUCACCGCUGUGAAGGUGCUGCAUGGUUGUCGUCAGCUCGUGCCGUGAGGUGUCGGCUUAAGUGCCAUAACGAGCGCAACCCUUAUCUUUAGUUACUAACAGGUUAUGCUGAGGACUCUAGAGAGACUGCCGUCGUAAGAUGUGAGGAAGGUGGGGAUGACGUCAAAUCAGCACGGCCCUUACGUCCGGGGCUACACACGUGUUACAAUGGGGGGUACAGAAGGCAGCUAGCGGGUGACCGUAUGCUAAUCCCAAAAUCCUCUCUCAGUUCGGAUCGAAGUCUGCAACCCGACUUCGUGAAGCUGGAUUCGCUAGUAAUCGCGCAUCAGCCACGGCGCGGUGAAUACGUUCCCGGGCCUUGUACACACCGCCCGUCAAGCCAUGGGAGCCGGGGGUACCUGAAGUACGUAACCGCAAGGAUCGUCCUAGGGUAAAACUGGUGACUG
This 1438-nucleotide ribosomal RNA is filed under the name uncultured organism. Its description in RNAcentral is "16S ribosomal RNA". It matches the Rfam family "Bacterial small subunit ribosomal RNA". The record is from RNAcentral.